UGCCCCAUGGCUGAGUUGGUUACAGCGUCCGACUGUUAUUCCUCCACAGGGAAUUGCCAUCGGAAGGUCGUGAGUUCGAGCCUCACUGGGGCAG
Gloeopeniophorella convolvens is the source of this 94-nucleotide non-coding RNA. NCBI's taxonomy places the organism in Eukaryota, Fungi, Basidiomycota, Agaricomycetes, Russulales. The record is from the annotation of a GenBank genome assembly.